This 664-nucleotide ribosomal RNA is filed under the name Aspergillus sp. CC-F429. Its description in RNAcentral is "SSU rRNA". It matches the Rfam family "Eukaryotic small subunit ribosomal RNA", at positions 87 to 759 of the family's 1831-position model. Lineage: Eukaryota; Fungi; Ascomycota; Eurotiomycetes; Eurotiales; Aspergillaceae. The record is from RNAcentral.
CUGCGAAUGGCUCAUUAAAUCAGUUAUCGUUUAUUUGAUAGUACCUUACUACAUGGAUACCUGUGGUAAUUCUAGAGCUAAUACAUGCUAAAAACCCCGACUUCGGGAGGGGUGUAUUUAUUAGAUAAAAAACCAAUGCCCCUCGGGGCUCCUUGGUGAAUCAUAAUAACUUAACGAAUCGCAUGGCCUUGCGCCGGCGAUGGUUCAUUCAAAUUUCUGCCCUAUCAACUUUCGAUGGUAGGAUAGUGGCCUACCAUGGUGGCAACGGGUAACGGGGAAUUAGGGUUCGAUUCCGGAGAGGGAGCCUGAGAAACGGCUACCACAUCCAAGGAAGGCAGCAGGCGCGCAAAUUACCCAAUCCCGACACGGGGAGGUAGUGACAAUAAAUACUGAUACGGGGCUCUUUUGGGUCUCGUAAUUGGAAUGAGUACAAUCUAAAUCCCUUAACGAGGAACAAUUGGAGGGCAAGUCUGGUGCCAGCAGCCGCGGUAAUUCCAGCUCCAAUAGCGUAUAUUAAAGUUGUUGCAGUUAAAAAGCUCGUAGUUGAACCUUGGGUCUGGCUGGCCGGUCCGCCUCACCGCGAGUACUGGUCCGGCUGGACCUUUCCUUCUGGGGAAUCCCAUGGCCUUCACUGGCUGUGGGUGGAACCAGGACUUUUACUGUG